UUUGGUAAUUCUAGAGCUAAUACAUGCCUCGAGUCCCCGAUCAUGUCUUCGGUUAACCGCCGUCGGUUGUGUGAAGGGCGCUUUUAUUAGUUCGAAACCGACCGUUGGGUUCUGGGUUGGCUCCGGUCACUCCCCAACGUGUUUGUUUUGUGUUGACUCUGGAUAACUUUUUGCUGAGCGUACGGUCUUUGCACCGACGCCGCUUCUUUCAAGUGUCUGCCUUAUCAGCUUUCGAUUGUAGGUUAAACGCCUACAAUGGCUAUAACGGGUAACGGGGAAUCAGGGUUCGAUUCCGGAGAGGGAGCCUGAGAAACGGCUACCACAUCUAAGGAAGGCAGCAGGCACGCAAAUUACCCACUCCCGGCACGGGGAGGUAGUGACGAAAAAUAACGAUGCGAGACUCAUCCGAGGCCUCGCAAUCGGAAUGAGUACACUUUAAAUCCUUUAACGAGGACCAAUUGGAGGGCAAGUCUGGUGCCAGCAGCCGCGGUAAUUCCAGCUCCAAUAGCGUAUAUUAAAGUUUGUUGCGGUUAAAAAGCUCGUAGUUGGAUUUAGCGUGUGUUGGUGUCGGUCCGCAUGUUUGAACGUGCGGUACUGUUCACGCUUCACACGUUUGUGUGUGGUCGACUUGGUGGGGGUGCUCUUGACCGAGUGUCCCCCGUGGGCGACCGAGUUUACUUUGAAAAAAUUAGAGUGCUCAAAGCAGGCCUGAAAUGUUAGUGCCUGAAUUAAAUGUGCAUGGAAUAAUGGAAUAGGACCUUGGUUCUAUUUUGUCGGUUUUGUGUUACCAAGGUAAUGAGUAAUAGAAACAGGCGGGGGCAUUCGUAUUGCGACGCUAGAGGUGAAAUUCUUGGACCGUCGCAAGACGAACUAAUGCGAAGCUUUUCCAAGGGUUUUUUUUUUUAAUCAAAAACAAAAUUUAGGGGUUCAAAGGCAAUCAGAUACCGCCCUAGUUCUAACCGUAAACGAUGCUGACCAGCGAUCCGCCGGCGUUAUUCCCAUGACCCGGCGGGCAGCUUCCGGGAAACCUAUUGAGUUUUUGAGUUCCGGGGGAAGUAUGGUUGCAAAGCUGAAACUUAAAGGAAUUGACGGAAGGGCACCACCAGGAGUGGAGCCUGCGGCUUAAUUUGACUCAACACGGGAAACCUCACCAGGCCCAGACACCGGAAGGACUGACAGAUUGAGAGCUCUUUCUCGAUUCGGUGGGUGGUGGUGCAUGGCCGUUCUUAGUUGGUGGAGCGAUUUGUCUGGUUAAUUCCGAUAACGAACGAGACUCURUCCUACUAAAUAGUGCACGGAUCUCCAUUUGAUGGUGUCCAGUUGUUUACUUCUUCUUAGAGGGAUAAGCGGCAGUUGUAGCCGCACGAGAAAGAGCAAUAACAGGUCUGUGAUGCCCUUAGAUGUCCUGGGCCGCACGCGCGCUACACUGAAAGGUUCAGCCUGUUUUCCUAGUCCGAGAGGACCGGGUAACCGUUUGAAAUCCUUUCAUGAUAGGGAUUGGGGUCUGCAAUUGUUUCCCAUGAACGAGGAAUUCCCAGUAAGCGCAAGUCAAUAGCUUGCGUUGAUUACGUCCCUGCCCUUUGUACACACCGCCCGUCGCUACUACCGAUUGAAUGAUUUAGUGAGGGCUUCGGACUGUCGCUGCUGGGUGAUGUGUCUCUGGCUUGUUGUAUCGUUCAAAGCGAGCAGCAGUUAUGCACACCAGGGGCUGACGGAAAGAUGUCCAAACUUGAUCAUUUAGAGGAAGUAAAAGUCGUAACAAGGUUUCCGU
This 1771-nucleotide ribosomal RNA is filed under the name Micippa thalia. Its description in RNAcentral is "SSU rRNA". It matches the Rfam family "Eukaryotic small subunit ribosomal RNA". The record is from RNAcentral. Lineage: Eukaryota; Metazoa; Arthropoda; Malacostraca; Decapoda; Mithracidae.